AUUGAACGCUGGCGGCAGGCCUAACACAUGCAAGUCGAGCGGAAACGAUGGAAGCUUGCUUCCAGGCGUCGAGCGGCGGACGGGUGAGUAAUGCAUAGGAAUCUGCCCGGUAGUGGGGGAUAACCUGGGGAAACCCAGGCUAAUACCGCAUACGUCCUACGGGAGAAAGCAGGGGAUCUUCGGACCUUGCGCUAUCGGAUGAGCCUAUGUCGGAUUAGCUAGUUGGUGAGGUAAUGGCUCACCAAGGCCGCGAUCCGUAGCUGGUCUGAGAGGAUGAUCAGCCACAUCGGGACUGAGACACGGCCCGAACUCCUACGGGAGGCAGCAGUGGGG
Molecule: ribosomal RNA, 333 nt
Filed under: Vreelandella aquamarina
Lineage: Bacteria; Pseudomonadati; Pseudomonadota; Gammaproteobacteria; Oceanospirillales; Halomonadaceae
Description: bacterial SSU rRNA
Rfam family: Bacterial small subunit ribosomal RNA
Source: RNAcentral